AGAGUUUGAUCCUGGCUCAGGAUGAACGCUAGCUACAGGCUUAACACAUGCAAGUCGAGGGGCAGCAUGACCUAGCAAUAGGUUGAUGGCGACCGGCGCACGGGUGAGUAACACGUAUCCAACCUACCGGUUAUUCCGGGAUAGCCUUUCGAAAGAAAGAUUAAUACCGGAUAGUAUAACGAGAAGGCAUCUUUUUGUUAUUAAAGAAUUUCGAUAACCGAUGGGGAUGCGUUCCAUUAGUUUGUUGGCGGGGUAACGGCCCACCAAGACAUCGAUGGAUAGGGGUUCUGAGAGGAAGGUCCCCCACAUUGGAACUGAGACACGGUCCAAACUCCUACGGGAGGCAGCAGUGAGGAAUAUUGGUCAAUGGACGAGAGUCUGAACCAGCCAAGUAGCGUGAAGGAUGACUGCCCUAUGGGUUGUAAACUUCUUUUAUAUGGGAAUAAAGUGAGCCACGUGUGGCUUUUUGUAUGUACCAUACGAAUAAGGAUCGGCUAACUCCGUGCCAGCAGCCGCGGUAAUACGGAGGAUCCGAGCGUUAUCCGGAUUUAUUGGGUUUAAAGGGAGCGUAGGCGGACUAUUAAGUCAGCUGUGAAAGUUUGCGGCUCAACCGUAAAAUUGCAGUUGAUACUGGUCGUCUUGAGUGCAGUAGAGGUAGGCGGAAUUCGUGGUGUAGCGGUGAAAUGCUUAGAUAUCACGAAGAACUCCGAUUGCGAAGGCAGCUUACUGGACUGUAACUGACGCUGAUGCUCGAAAGUGUGGGUAUCAAACAGGAUUAGAUACCCUGGUAGUCCACACAGUAAACGAUGAAUACUCGCUGUUUGCGAUAUAC
Molecule: ribosomal RNA, 832 nt
Filed under: Bacteroides cellulosilyticus
Lineage: Bacteria; Pseudomonadati; Bacteroidota; Bacteroidia; Bacteroidales; Bacteroidaceae
Also listed under: 1 other name
Description: bacterial SSU rRNA
Rfam family: Bacterial small subunit ribosomal RNA
Source: RNAcentral